Molecule: non-coding RNA, 148 nt
Organism: Cinara cedri
Lineage: Eukaryota; Metazoa; Arthropoda; Insecta; Hemiptera; Aphididae
Source: the annotation of a GenBank genome assembly
UGAUAUUGAUGGAUUAGAGAUUGCAUUAUUUGAUUUUGCGCGUAGUAAUUGCCACCCAUUAUAAAUAAAUACAAAUCAAUCUAAUCUAUAUCAUGUAUAUCAGUGUAUAGACAGCGUGUGUGUGUGUGUGUGUGUGUGUGUUUGUCAA